Molecule: ribosomal RNA, 253 nt
Filed under: uncultured bacterium
Lineage: Bacteria
Description: partial 16S ribosomal RNA
Rfam family: Bacterial small subunit ribosomal RNA
Source: RNAcentral
UACGAAGGGGGCUAGCGUUGCUCGGAAUCACUGGGCGUAAAGCGCACGUAGGCGGAUUGUUAAGUCAGGGGUGAAAUCCUGGAGCUCAACUCCAGAACUGCCUUUGAUACUGAGGAGCUUGAGUCCGGGAGAGGUGAGUGGAACUCCGAGUGUAGAGGUGAAAUUCGUAGAUAUUCGGAAGAACACCAGUGGCGAAGGCGGCUCACUGGCCCGGUACUGACGCUGAGGUGCGAAAGCGUGGGGAGCAAACAGG